This 467-nucleotide ribosomal RNA is filed under the name uncultured bacterium. RNAcentral's name for it is "partial 16S ribosomal RNA". It matches the Rfam family "Bacterial small subunit ribosomal RNA", at positions 29 to 507 of the family's 1533-position model. The record is from RNAcentral.
ACGAACGCUGGCGGCGUGCUUAACCCAUGCCAGUCGAACGGAAAGGCCCUGCUUUUGUGGGGUGCUCGAGUGGCGAACGGGUGAGUAACACGUGAGUAACCUGCCCUUGACUUUGGGAUAACUUCAGGAAACUGGGGCUAAUACCGGAUAGGAGCUCCUGCUGCAUGGUGGGGGUUGGAAAGUUUCGGCGGUUGGGGAUAGACUCGCGGCUUAUCAGCUUGUUGGUGGGGUAGUGGCUUACCAAGGCUUUGACGGGUAGCCGGCCUGAGAGGGUGACCGGCCACAUUGGGACUGAGAUACGGCCCAGACUCCUACGGGAGGCAGCAGUGGGGAAUAUUGCACAAUGGGCGGAAGCCUGAUGCAGCAACGCCGCGUGCGGGAUGACGGCCUUCGGGUUGUAAACCGCUUUCGCCUGUGACGAAGCGUGAGUGACGGUAAUGGGUAAAGAAGCACCGGCUAACUACGUG